CCCCUGCCUGCUAAAUAGUUGGGCGAAUGAAUGUUCAUUGGCCGCAGCUUCUUAGAGGGACGUGCGUUCUAUUAGACGCAGGAAGAUAGGGGCAAUAACAGGUCUGUGAUGCCCUUAGAUGUCCUGGGCCGCACGCGCGUUACACUGAUGCACUCAACGAGUCUGCCUUGGCCGAGAGGCCUGGGAAAUCUUGUUAACAUGCAUCGUGAUAGGGAUAGAUUAUUGCAAUUAUUAAUCUUGAACGAGGAAUUCNUAGUAAACGCAGAUCAUCAAUCUGCAUUGAUUACGUCCCUGCCCUUUGUACACACCGCCCGUCGCACCUA
Molecule: ribosomal RNA, 323 nt
Filed under: Fragilariales sp. endosymbiont of Amphistegina lessonii
Lineage: Eukaryota; Bacillariophyta; Fragilariophyceae; Fragilariales
Description: SSU rRNA
Rfam family: Eukaryotic small subunit ribosomal RNA
Source: RNAcentral